GAUGAACGCUGGCGGCGUGCUUAACACAUGCAAGUCGAACGGGAAACCUUUUAUUGAAGCUUCGGCAGAUUUAGCUGGUUUCUAGUGGCGGACGGGUGAGUAACGCGUGGGUAACCUGCCCUAUACAGGGGGAUAACAACCAGAAAUGGUUGCUAAUACCGCAUAAGCGCACAGGGCCGCAUGGUCCGGUGUGAAAAACUCCGGUGGUAUAGGAUGGACCCGCGUUGGAUUGGCCAGUUGGCAGGGUAACGGCCUACCAAAGCGACGAUCCAUAGCCGGCCUGAGAGGGUGAACGGCCACAUUGGGACUGAGACACGGCCCAGACUCCUACGGGAGGCAGCAGUGGGGAAUAUUGCACAAUGGGGGAAACCCUGAUGCAGCGACGCCGCGUGAAGGAAGAAGUAUCUCGGUAUGUAAACUUCUAUCAGCAGGGAAGAUAGUGACGGUACCUGACUAAGAAGCCCCGGCUAACUACGUG
This 478-nucleotide ribosomal RNA is filed under the name uncultured bacterium. Its description in RNAcentral is "partial 16S ribosomal RNA". It matches the Rfam family "Bacterial small subunit ribosomal RNA", at positions 28 to 507 of the family's 1533-position model. The record is from RNAcentral.